Molecule: long non-coding RNA, 849 nt
Organism: Parus major (Great Tit)
Lineage: Eukaryota; Metazoa; Chordata; Aves; Passeriformes; Paridae
Source: Ensembl
GUAGUGUCAAAACUGGCACACUGCGGUUUUAACUUCAAAUAACCCCAGCAAGAUUUGACAGGGAAAAAAAAUACUUUAACAAUGACCCAUUGAAAGGUCUCAUUAUCUUUCCCAUACAGUGCACAUAGGAAUAAGCUGCUCACAUUCCUUUUAACCUUGCCGGAAAAGAUUCACUUCUAAUCAGAAGGGCUACACAUUCGUGAAGAGGAGAAAGAUGUUCCAUUAGUAUGCAGAAAGGAUCCUUCCAGGUACUGGCCAUAAUAAGGACAGAAGUCUGGAAGAAAUAGAAUGGUCCAAAAGUUCUGAAGUUUUUAAAAAUUUAUUCAUUAAAAAUUUCUUAUUCAGCUUGAGAGAGUUUACAGUUUUUCUAGGCAGCAGUACCUUAGAGGUCCAUUUGUAUCCAUGAAUGCUCAGGGAUAAUGAAAAUUUGUGUAUGGAAUUGUAAAACCAAAAACUAAAGAAUAUGUGGGCAGGUUUAAAUAAUAGGAUGCCACUUUUCAGAAUUUGUGAGUAAAAGACUUCUACACUUUCUUUCUUUAUCUUUUUGCUCAGCUGCUUAAGUUGAAAACAUUUGUUUGUUUUUUUUUUUUUAAAUGAAGCCUGCACAGGCAGAAAAUGGUGAGUUUUUGUCCCCUAGUGGAUGAAGUGAUAUUUUGGCCCCUAAUACAGAGGACAUCUGGGAAAAAAUCCCAUCCGAGUUGAGGAAGAUUAAUGAGGAGUUGGAAUUGGGAACUGACAUCUGCAGACUGGGUUGAACUCAAGAUGUGAACUGCCUUUUAGAGCUGCCAGUUUUUGUCCACAGUGACCAUCAGGGAGCCUAGGCUGGUAAAAUUCGCUACCUCUAAGCUC